GGAGAGGUAGCAUAGUCUGGCUUAAUGCGCACGCCUGGAAAGUGUGUAAGCGGUAACUCCGCUUCGCGGGUUCGAAUCCCGCCCUCUCCGCCA
This 93-nucleotide transfer RNA is filed under the name Chloroflexota bacterium. Its description in RNAcentral is "Chloroflexi bacterium (groundwater metagenome) tRNA-Ser". It matches the Rfam family "tRNA". Rfam says of the family: Transfer RNA (tRNA) molecules are approximately 80 nucleotides in length. Their secondary structure includes four short double-helical elements and three loops (D, anti-codon, and T loops). Further hydrogen bonds mediate the characteristic L-shaped molecular structure. tRNAs have two regions of fundamental functional importance: the anti-codon, which is responsible for specific mRNA codon recognition, and the 3' end, to which the tRNAs corresponding amino acid is attached (by aminoacyl-tRNA synthetases). tRNAs cope with the degeneracy of the genetic code in two manners: having more than one tRNA (with a specific anti-codon) for a particular amino acid; and 'wobble' base-pairing, i.e. permitting non-standard base-pairing at the 3rd anti-codon position. The record is from RNAcentral. Lineage: Bacteria; Bacillati; Chloroflexota.